RNAcentral lists this ribosomal RNA (254 nucleotides) under uncultured bacterium. RNAcentral's name for it is "partial 16S ribosomal RNA". It matches the Rfam family "Bacterial small subunit ribosomal RNA", at positions 524 to 776 of the family's 1533-position model. The record is from RNAcentral.
UACGGAGGGGGCUAGCGUUGUUCGGAAUUACUGGGCGUAAAGCGCACGUAGGCGGCUUUGCAAGUUAGAGGUGAAAGCCCGGAGCUUAACUCCGGAAUUGCCUUUAAAACUGCAUCGCUAGAAUUGUGGAGAGGUGAGUGGAAUUCCGAGUGUAGAGGUGAAAAUUCGUAGAUAUUCGGAAGAACACCAGUGGCGAAGGCGACUCACUGGACACAUAUUGACGCUGAGGUGCGAAAGCGUGGGGAGCAAACAGG